CGACUUAUAUUCAGUAGCAAGGUUAACCGUAUAGGGGAGCCGUAGAGAAAUCGAGUCUUAAUAGGGCGUUUAGUUGCUGGGUAUAGACCCGAAACCAGGCGAUCUAUCCAUGAGCAGGUUGAAGGUUGGGUAACACUAACUGGAGGACCGAACCCACUGUCGUUGAAAAGCCAGGGGAUGACUUGUGGAUAGGGGUGAAAGGCUAAUCAAGCCUGGUGAUAGCUGGUUCUCCCCGAAAGCUAUUUAGGUAGCGCCUCGGACGAAUACCAUAGGGGGUAGAGCACUGUUUCGGCUAGGGGGUCAUCCCGACUUACCAAACCGAUGCAAACUCCGAAUACCUAUGAGUACUAUCCGGGAGACAGACUGCGGGUGCUAACGUCCGUAGUCAAGAGGAAAACAAUCCAGACCGCCAGCUAAGGCCCCAAAAUCAUAGUUAAGUGGGAAACGAUGUGGGAAGGCAUAGACAGCUAGGAGGUUGGCUUAGAAGCAGCCACCCUUUAAAGAAAGCGUAAUAGCUCACUAGUCGAGUCGGCCUGCGCGGAAGAUGUAACGGGGCUAAAACUAUGUGCCGAAGCUGCGGAUUUGACAUUAGUCAAGUGGUAGGGGAGCGUUCUGUAAGCCGAUGAAGGUGUAUUGAGAAGUAUGCUGGAGGUAUCAGAAGUGCGAAUGCUGACGUGAGUAACGACAAAACGGGUGAAAAACCCGUUCGCCGAAAGACCAAGGGUUCCAGUCCAACGUUAAUCGGGGCUGGGUGAGUCGACCCCUAAGGCGAGGCCGAAAGGCGUAGUCGAUGGGAAAAUGGUUAAUAUUCCAUUACUUCUGUGUAAUGCGAUGAGAGGACGGAGAAGGCUAAAUCAGCCUGGCGUUGGUUGUCCAGGUGAAAGGAUGUAGGCAUGUAUCUUAGGCAAAUCCGGGGUACUCUAUGCUGAGAUCUGAUAGCAAGCUGUACUUGUACAGCGAAGUGGUUGAUGCCAUGCUUCCAGGAAAAGUCUCUAAGCUUCAGUUACACAGGAAUCGUACCCGAAACCGACACAGGUGGUCAGGUCGAGUAGACCAAGGCGCUUGAGAGAACUCUGCUGAAGGAACUAGGCAAAAUGGUACCGUAACUUCGGGAGAAGGUACGCUGUUGUUGGUGAUGGAACUCGCUUCCUGAGCUGACGACAGCCGCAGAAACCAGGCCGCUGCAACUGUUUAUUAAAAACAUAGCACUCUGCAAACACGAAAGUGGACGUAUAGGGUGUGAUGCCUGCCCGGUGCUGGAAGGUUAAUUGAUGGGGUUAGCGUAAGCGAAGCUCUUGAUCGAAGCCCCAGUAAACGGCGGCCGUAACUAUAACGGUCCUAAGGUAGCGAAAUUCCUUGUCGGGUAAGUUCCGACCUGCACGAAUGGCAUAAUGAUGGCGGCGCUGUCUCCAGCAGAGGCUCAGUGAAAUCGAAAUCGCUGUGAAGAUGCAGUGUACCCGCGGCUAGACGGAAAGACCCCGUGAACCUUUACUGCAGCUUGACACUGAACUUUGACCUUACUUGUGUAGGAUAGGUGGGAGGCUUUGAAGCUGGAACGCUAGUUCCAGUGGAGCCGUCCUUGAAAUACCACCCUGGUAAUGUUGAGGUUCUAACUCUGUCCCGUGAUCCGGGACGAGGACCGUGUCUGGUGGGUAGUUUGACUGGGGCGGUCUCCUCCUAAAGAGUAACGGAGGAGUACGAAGGUGCGCUCAGCGUGGUCGGAAAUCACGCGUAGAGUAUAAAGGCAAAAGCGCGCUUAACUGCGAGACCCACAAGUCGAGCAGGUACGAAAGUAGGUCUUAGUGAUCCGGUGGUUCUGUAUGGAAGGGCCAUCGCUCAACGGAUAAAAGGUACUCUGGGGAUAACAGGCUGAUACCGCCCAAGAGUUCAUAUCGACGGCGGUGUUUGGCACCUCGAUGUCGGCUCAUCUCAUCCUGGGGCUGAAGCAGGUCCCAAGGGUAUGGCUGUUCGCCAUUUAAAGAGGUACGCGAGCUGGGUUUAGAACGUCGUGAGACAGUUCGGUCCCUAUCUACCGUGGGCGCUGGAAAUUUGAGAGGAUCUGCUCCUAGUACGAGAGGACCAGAGUGGACGAACCUCUGGUGUACCGGUUGUGACGCCAGUCGCAUCGCCGGGUAGCUAUGUUCGGAAGGGAUAACCGCUGAAAGCAUCUAAGCGGGAAGCCUACCUCAAGAUAAGAUUUCCCUAGGACUUUAUGUCCUCUAAAGAGCCGUUCGAGACUAGGACGUUGAUAGGUUGGAUGUGGAAGCAUAGUGAUAUGUGAAGCUGACCAAUACUAAUUGCUCGUGAGGCUUGACUAUACAACACCCAAGCAGUUG
This 2336-nucleotide ribosomal RNA is filed under the name Acinetobacter baumannii. RNAcentral describes it as "partial 23S ribosomal RNA". It matches the Rfam family "Bacterial large subunit ribosomal RNA", at positions 624 to 2925 of the family's 2925-position model. Lineage: Bacteria; Pseudomonadati; Pseudomonadota; Gammaproteobacteria; Moraxellales; Moraxellaceae. The record is from RNAcentral.